RNAcentral lists this ribosomal RNA (301 nucleotides) under uncultured bacterium. RNAcentral's name for it is "partial 16S ribosomal RNA". It matches the Rfam family "Bacterial small subunit ribosomal RNA", at positions 509 to 807 of the family's 1533-position model. The record is from RNAcentral.
CAGCAGCCGCGGUAAUACGAGGGGGGCUAGCGUUGCUCGGAAUGACUGGGCGUAAAGGGCGCGUAGGCGGCGGUCAAAAUCAGGCGUGAAAUUCCUGGGCUCAACCUGGGGGCUGCGCUUGAUACUUGGUUGCUUGAGUGGGGAAGAGGGUCGUGGAAUUCCCAGUGUAGAGGUGAAAUUCGUAGAUAUUGGGAAGAACACCGGUGGCGAAGGCGGCGACCUGGUCCUUGACUGACGCUGAGGCGCGAAAGCGUGGGGAGCAAACAGGAUUAGAUACCCGGGUAGUCCCUGUCUCUUAUAC